Molecule: long non-coding RNA, 277 nt
Organism: Ruditapes philippinarum (Manila clam)
Lineage: Eukaryota; Metazoa; Mollusca; Bivalvia; Venerida; Veneridae
Exons: 3
Source: RefSeq, a predicted model, not a curated record
UAAAACACAUCAUUUCUUCUUUUUUCCAGACAAAUGUUAUGUUAUGAUAGGAGAGUCCCAUUAGAUGAAAUGUGUAGCAGAAUUCAAUCCCUUACUGGUGAUGAUGUGAGACAGAUUUGUUACAAAUAUAUCUAUGAUAAAUGUCCAGUAGUUGCAGCUAUAGGACCAAUUGGUGGAUUGAUGGAUUACAACAGGUUACGAGCAUCUAUGUACUGGUUAAGAAAAUAAACAAUUAUUUAUUACAAUUAAGACUGUUUACUGUAGGUGUAAAACCUAU